Non-coding RNA from Paramuricea clavata, 1479 nucleotides. The record is from the annotation of a GenBank genome assembly. NCBI's taxonomy places the organism in Eukaryota, Metazoa, Cnidaria, Anthozoa, Malacalcyonacea, Plexauridae.
AUCUUCGCCUUCGCGAAGCGGCUUAAAUUUGGCAAUAUCUUGAGUAAUCGUGUCCGAAACAUAUCGGGGGUCUCCGUAAACAGAAUCGAGGUAUUCCCACGCAGCGUCGUAAUCUGAGCCUAUUCCUUUAAUUAACUCAAGUGGUUUACCCUCGAGACAUGUUCGUAAAAAUGUCAUUGCGUCGCGUUUACCAUAUCUUGAUUCUACUGCGUAUUUAAAAUCAGCGCGGAAAAUUGCGUAUUCUCUUACAUCACCGGUAAAUUUGGGCAUUUUAGGCUUUUCCAUUUUAAAACUACAUUGUCGAGAAUUCGCCUCCAAAAUGUAGUCCUCGACAAGUCACAAAUGUUCGAAGUAAGAAAAAUGUAUAUUCAAACAAAACAUAAAAUUUACCAAAGAUAUAUAACAAAAUUAAAAGGUUCACAAUGGUCACGAUUACGUAUAGAUAGAUAGCGCACGGGCUAUUAUCUCUCUUUCACAAUACAAUUUCUCUCUCACUCACUGUCACAGUCCAACUACGAUUGUUCAACUAACUCUCUGCUCUCUUUCGUGACUAUUUCACUCACACCCUCACUUUGACACCUAAUCAUUCCUACGUCAUGCAUUAAUAAUCAAUUAAAAUAAUAAUCUUAUCUGUCAGUUCCCGACACACUCCCCCAUAUAGCUCAGAAUUGAGGUAUAUGUCCUUGAAGGGACUGACUUCGUUGCUGUAGUUCAUCAUUUACUACCUAACAAAUAGAAUAUAUAAAGUUAAUAUGGAAAAAAGUUAUAAUAAAUGUCUCGCAUCAGUGUUCUUCCGCAUUCGCGACUUGCUUCAACCGUAUCUUUGCUGCUUCUGCUGCAUCCCUAGUCGGACGUGGGGUAAAGGUUGGUGCUUCCGGGUUGGGGGUCCACUUUGUCUCGUCGCAGGAUAGCUCUAAGGGAUAAAUAUGCUGGACCGCUCGCUCGAUAUUCCCGUUCGAGGUCCGUAUACUAGCUCCCUGUAUCACAUCAUCUCUUCCUUUCAUCACCCUGGACACGACUCCGAGUUUCCAUGCAUGACGUUUCUUGUCUUCGUCCCGAAUUAUGACGAUCUCCCCGAUUCUUGGAUAGGAGGUCUGUUUGCCGACCCGUUGGUUAUGGCGUUCGCGCAGGCUUCGAACAUACUCUUGGGACCAACGUUUCCACAUCGCCUCUUUACUUUUCCGUAAUAGUCUCGCACGUUUCCGCAAAUCUCUAUCUUCCAGGUAGUGGGGAUCAGCUUCAGGUAGGACACAAGGGUUAAUGUUCAGCAUUGAGGAAGGUGUAAGUACUGGUAAUUGGAUGUCAUCUUCUAGAUAGGUCAACGGACGAUUAUUGAGAGCCACUUCCACAUCCAAUACUACUUCCUCUAAUUCGUCUAAGGUCAACGUUCCGUUACCGAUCGUUUUGUAGAACGCUCUUUUGAAGAGACCAAUGAGGCGUUCAAAUUGGCCUCCCCACCAUGGUGCACGACUAAGGUUG